AUGGAUUGGUGGCUGCGCGCAAAGGAACACACACCACCAGCGUCCCGCAAGGCGCUCAAAUCCGUGGCCCUUUUGGUACCGUGGAUGAUCUGGAAGCAUAGAAAUGCGUGUGUUUUCGACCAUGUGUACCCAUCGCUGAACGAGCUUGUAGAAAGGAUCAAAGACGAGACCAGAUGUUGGGCAAAGGCUGGAGCUCAAGGGCUCAGGGUCGUUUUGCCAUCAUCCUGGGACGUGCACUGA
This 240-nucleotide ribosomal RNA is filed under the name Triticum aestivum (bread wheat). RNAcentral's name for it is "partial small subunit ribosomal RNA". Lineage: Eukaryota; Viridiplantae; Streptophyta; Magnoliopsida; Poales; Poaceae. The record is from RNAcentral.